This is a non-coding RNA of Pisolithus tinctorius, 73 nucleotides long. NCBI's taxonomy places the organism in Eukaryota, Fungi, Basidiomycota, Agaricomycetes, Boletales, Pisolithaceae. The record is from the annotation of a GenBank genome assembly.
GACCAUAUGGCUCAGUGGUUGCAGCACCUGGUAAACACCUAGGAGGUCACUGGUUCAAUCUUAGGACUGGUCA